Molecule: ribosomal RNA, 1356 nt
Filed under: Lactiplantibacillus plantarum
Lineage: Bacteria; Bacillati; Bacillota; Bacilli; Lactobacillales; Lactobacillaceae
Description: bacterial SSU rRNA
Rfam family: Bacterial small subunit ribosomal RNA
Source: RNAcentral
GCAUCAUGAUUUACAUUUGAGUGAGUGGCGAACUGGUGAGUAACACGUGGGAAACCUGCCCAGAAGCGGGGGAUAACACCUGGAAACAGAUGCUAAUACCGCAUAACAACUUGGACCGCAUGGUCCGAGCUUGAAAGAUGGCUUCGGCUAUCACUUUUGGAUGGUCCCGCGGCGUAUUAGCUAGAUGGUGGGGUAACGGCUCACCAUGGCAAUGAUACGUAGCCGACCUGAGAGGGUAAUCGGCCACAUUGGGACUGAGACACGGCCCAAACUCCUACGGGAGGCAGCAGUAGGGAAUCUUCCACAAUGGACGAAAGUCUGAUGGAGCAACGCCGCGUGAGUGAAGAAGGGUUUCGGCUCGUAAAACUCUGUUGUUAAAGAAGAACAUAUCUGAGAGUAACUGUUCAGGUAUUGACGGUAUUUAACCAGAAAGCCACGGCUAACUACGUGCCAGCAGCCGCGGUAAUACGUAGGUGGCAAGCGUUGUCCGGAUUUAUUGGGCGUAAAGCGAGCGCAGGCGGUUUUUUAAGUCUGAUGUGAAAGCCUUCGGCUCAACCGAAGAAGUGCAUCGGAAACUGGGAAACUUGAGUGCAGAAGAGGACAGUGGAACUCCAUGUGUAGCGGUGAAAUGCGUAGAUAUAUGGAAGAACACCAGUGGCGAAGGCGGCUGUCUGGUCUGUAACUGACGCUGAGGCUCGAAAGUAUGGGUAGCAAACAGGAUUAGAUACCCUGGUAGUCCAUACCGUAAACGAUGAAUGCUAAGUGUUGGAGGGUUUCCGCCCUUCAGUGCUGCAGCUAACGCAUUAAGCAUUCCGCCUGGGGAGUACGGCCGCAAGGCUGAAACUCAAAGGAAUUGACGGGGGCCCGCACAAGCGGUGGAGCAUGUGGUUUAAUUCGAAGCUACGCGAAGAACCUUACCAGGUCUUGACAUACUAUGCAAAUCUAAGAGAUUAGACGUUCCCUUCGGGGACAUGGAUACAGGUGGUGCAUGGUUGUCGUCAGCUCGUGUCGUGAGAUGUUGGGUUAAGUCCCGCAACGAGCGCAACCCUUAUUAUCAGUUGCCAGCAUUAAGUUGGGCACUCUGGUGAGACUGCCGGUGACAAACCGGAGGAAGGUGGGGAUGACGUCAAAUCAUCAUGCCCCUUAUGACCUGGGCUACACACGUGCUACAAUGGAUGGUACAACGAGUUGCGAACUCGCGAGAGUAAGCUAAUCUCUUAAAGCCAUUCUCAGUUCGGAUUGUAGGCUGCAACUCGCCUACAUGAAGUCGGAAUCGCUAGUAAUCGCGGAUCAGCAUGCCGCGGUGAAUACGUUCCCGGGCCUUGUACACACCGCCCGUCACACCAUGAGAGUUUG